CCAUGCAGUCGAGGGGCAGCACAUGAAGUAGCAAUACGGAUGGUGGCGACCGGCGCACGGGUGAGUAACGCGUAUGCAACCUACCUACAACAGGGGGAUAACCCGUUGAAAGACGGACUAAUACCCCAUAAUACAGGGGUCCCGCAUGGGGAUAUUUGUUAAAGAUUAAUCGGUUGUAGAUGGGCAUGCGUUCCAUUAGCUGGUUGGUGAGGUAACGGCUCACCAAGGCAACGAUGGAUAGGGGAA
RNAcentral lists this ribosomal RNA (246 nucleotides) under uncultured bacterium. Its description in RNAcentral is "partial 16S ribosomal RNA". It matches the Rfam family "Bacterial small subunit ribosomal RNA", at positions 54 to 291 of the family's 1533-position model. The record is from RNAcentral.